AUGAAAUGAAUUGAACUUUCACCAGAGCACUUGCUAAGUGAGUCAUGAAUCAAACACAACAGGGACCACUGGACAUCCAUCUGCUGUGGUUAGAGGCUGCCUUGUAAUUCCUCAGAGCUGACAGAACCCCAUAAGAAAAGGAAACGGACUGGGCUCCACAAGAUGUUCUUGCAAAGGAGGGAUUUGGAUUAACCUGGGAAGGUCAACAGCAAAGCAUGGUUUCCUGUUUUUAAAGUGAAGAUG
RNAcentral lists this long non-coding RNA (243 nucleotides) under Struthio camelus australis. RNAcentral describes it as "lncRNA (ENSSCUG00000001058.1)". The record is from RNAcentral. Lineage: Eukaryota; Metazoa; Chordata; Aves; Struthioniformes; Struthionidae.